AUAGCUCUUGUGGAGAUGCAUGAGACAGAACAUAAGCAGAAAUAUGGGACAAUGAGCACUAUAGACACGAGAUGUCACUCAACCGUACACAGGCUUUUGAAGUCUACAGGAAAGGAUCCAGUGGUAACAGUUCAUAUUGGCACUGAUGACACACUGUCAUGGCAUAUUUCACAGAUAAUAAAUUUGAGACCUCCGAAGCAUGCUCAUAGAGAAGAUCACUUGGACAGCCCCUGUCCCACAACUAAAGGAAGACAGAAGGCAGAAGAUUUGGGAAGCAAACUGCUAGCUAGACAGUAGCCAGCAAAAACAGAAGUGACCCUCAGGAGUGUGGAUAAAACCUUAAAAAGGUGAGCCACAUACGCUAUAGUAUCCUAGAUGCCAGAAAGCAAACCUAACAGUAACAUAGUGAGGCGCUCAUCAUGUAACUUCGGCAUAUUUCUCAUUUAAUACAGCGUUGAAUGCCGCAUGGAAGAAGCCAGCAUUUAAACUUUUAUCUAUGCGAGCACAUUAAGUAAGAGUUAUUCCUACUGAUCCACUGGAAAAAAAAGAGUUGAAUAAAGUCAUAACAGAACAUGCCAGUUGAAAAUUCCAUUUUAACAUAGAGGUGCUCUCAAGCAUGAAGAAGUUUAACAGAAGGCCUAUUCAGAAAAUGUUUCAGUCAAAAGAAUGAAUGUCCAGUGAGCAAGUAUCGUGCAUGAAACUAAACCAGAGAGGAACAAUACUUUGCUUACGUUAAGCCACAUGAACAUAUGAAGUAACUCAAUGUCUUGUUAUACAGAGCUCUAAAAGAAAAACCAUGCAAGCACUUUUCGUGAUGGAGCUUAGUAUUCCAGCUGUGCGAACCUCACUGCAUCACUCUGGAAUAGGUAUUUUUCCUAAGCUGUGUAAAAACACUCAAUUGGGCAAUAUGAACAGAGGGUGUCAACUCCGAAGGGACUGGCUUUCAACACACACAGAAAAGCUAUGCUUCAGCUUCCUAGAUCAGUAAGAUGGCAGCUGGAAGAACUUGCACAGCCUCUGAGCCUCCUGAGAAACAAAACUGGCAUCUCACAUUGCACAAUUUCAACAGUACUCAACUCAAAAGUGGGAGUGGCGUGUGUCCAGACCUGUACACAGCACAUGCGACUGAAGGUUUGAAAGAAUCUUCAUGCUAUUGUGCAUUAAUAUUUAGCAUUAAA
Non-coding RNA from Chelonoidis abingdonii (Abingdon island giant tortoise), 1178 nucleotides. The record is from RefSeq and is a predicted model, not a curated record. NCBI's taxonomy places the organism in Eukaryota, Metazoa, Chordata, Testudines, Testudinidae.